This 1521-nucleotide long non-coding RNA is filed under the name Eucalyptus grandis. RNAcentral describes it as "long non-coding RNA (EGRA_LNC005303)". Lineage: Eukaryota; Viridiplantae; Streptophyta; Magnoliopsida; Myrtales; Myrtaceae. The record is from RNAcentral.
CAUAACACUUUCACAAAUCAACAGAAUUACAAACAAGGGUCUACGACCAACAGUCUACAAAAGACCGGCUCUUAAAAAUGAACUGUCCUACGACCUACAAGUCGAACACGUUCUCCAAUCUUAUGACUUCACAUCUGCAACUCCUCAAGACCAACCAAAGCUAUCUGGUCACUCCGUCCACCGGGGACCUGAAAUUUUAAUCCCACAACCGGGAUGAGACGAUGUCUCAGCAAGUUCAACCCCCUAAACCCCUAUUAGAAAGAAAAUACGCCCCGGGUGGCCUAGCCACAUCACACAGAAGACUUACCUCGCCUUAGCCUUCAUCUGCAGGUUAGCACAAUUUAUAUAAUUCAACCACGUACAAUUAUGAUAACCAAACAACCAUGGCACAAUCACAUUAUCAAAACAAUUCAACCACUUGGAUCGUCUCAGCGAUCAAUCGAUUGAGCUGAUUACAUGUCAUUCUAGCAAAUAACUCAUUGCUCUCAAUCUCGGCCCUAUAAGAAGGUUUAACAAUCAGUGGCAAUCACAGCCCCACUCGACACGACCUUUAAUUAGGUGGUCCAUCACGGCCUCACUGGGCACGACCUCUAAUAGGUGGUUAAUCACGGCCUCACUGGGCACGACCUCUCAUAGGUGGUACAUCACGGCUUCACUGGGCACGACCUCUAAUAGGUGGUUAAUCACGGCCUCGCUGGGCACGACCUCUCAUAGGUGGUUCAUCACAGCCUCACUGGGCACGACCUCUAAUAGGUGGUUAAUCACGGCCUCACUGGGCACGACCUUUUCUAGGUGGUACAUCACGGCCUCAUUGGGCAUGACCUUUCCUAGGUGGUACAUCACGGCCUCAUUGGGCACGACCUCUAAUAGGUGGUCAAUCACAGCCAAUCUCCCAUCAAUUUCUACACUUAGGAUUUUAUAAAGAAUCCCUAUUUAUCACAAUCACACUCCAUUUGCCACAAUCAAUCAUCAAAUUCAAAUUCUAAAUACACAGCAGCGAUCAGUAUGAAAUUAUGGGAGAAUAAGGUUCCAAACUAAUUUUCAGAAUUUAUUAAAUAAUUAAAUUUAUUCCGAAAAUUAAUUAAAUAAUAAUAUCCAUAUAUUUCACGAUCCACGCUCAAUCUAUAAUAUCCAACCAUCAAUUUCGAAAUCCGAAUGCACAGCAGCGAUCGGCACGAAAUUCUAAGCAAUCAGGGUCAAAAAUAAUUUUUCCAUUUUUUUUAUAAUAUUUUAAUAAUUUCGGAAUAUAAUAUAAUAUUAUAAAUUCCAGAAUUUCGAAAUCAUUUAAAUAAUUCAAAAAUAAAACCCUAUUAUGUCCCAUAAAGGCUUAACAUUAAAUAAACUCUCUUAGCCUUUAAUUAAACAUACUUUAGAUUAAACAAACAUCUUAAUCUAAAUCACAAUUAAAUAAACUAAAUUAACCACCUAAGAGUACUUAACUUAGACUGAGCACACUUAGGACAUCAUUAACCGUCUAAUCAAGGUUUAGUGAGCUAAACUCACCGGAUUAGCGAGCCGAGC